UUUUCCCGCCAGAAAAAAAACACCUCGGUUAAUUUUCCUUUCCCACCCAACCCCCGGUAAAUCGGGAGGGUGCCAAACGCUUUAAUUGGGAAUUUCUGGGCGCUAAAAGCCCCCCCCCAGGCGGUUUUGUUAAGUUCAAAAUUGGAAAUCCCCGGGGCUUUAACCUGGGGAACUGCCAUUUGAAACUGGGCAGGCUUGAGUUCUCGUAGAGGAGGGGUAGCAUUUCCAGGUGUAGCGGUGAAAUGCGUAGAGAUUUGGAGGAAUACCGGUGGCGAAGGCGGCCCCCUGGACGAAGACUGACGCUCAGGUGCGAAAGCGUGGGGAGCAAACAGGAUUAGAUACCCUGGUAGUCCACGCCGUAAACGAUGUCGACUUGGAGGUUGUUCCCUUGAGGAGUGGCUUCCGGAGCUAACGCGUUAAGUCGCCCGCCUGGGGAGUACGGCCCGCAAGGUUAAAACUCAAAUGAAUUGACGGGGGCCCGCACAAGCGGUGGAGCAUGUGGUUUAAUUCGAUGCAACGCGAAGAACCUCACCUACUCUUGACAUCCAGCGAACUUUCCAGAGAUGGAUUGGUGCCUUCGGGAACGCUGAGACAGGUGCUGCAUGGCUGUCGUCAGCUCGUGUUGUGAAAAGUUGGGGUAAGUCCCCCAAAGAGAGCGAACCUUAUCUCCUGUGUCCCCAGCGAUUGUGUCGGGCACUCAAAGGAGUCUCCCGGUGAUAACCCCGGAGAAAGGUGGGGAUGGCGUCAAGUCAUCAUGGCCCUUACGAGUAGGGCUACACACGUGCUACAAUGGCGCAUACAAAGAGAAGCGACCUCGCGAGAGCAAGCGGACCUCACAAAGUGCGUCGUAGUCCGGAUCGGAGUCUGCAACUCGACUCCGUGAAGUCGGAAUCGCUAGUAAUCGUGGAUCAGAAUGCCACGGUGAAUACGUUCCCGGGCCUUGUACACACCGCCCGUCACACCAUGGGAGUGGGUUGCAAAAGAAGUAGGUAGCUUAGCAUUGUGGGAGGGAGUUUACCAUGAGGAGUCGGACCUGAUUA
Molecule: ribosomal RNA, 1040 nt
Filed under: Pantoea agglomerans
Lineage: Bacteria; Pseudomonadati; Pseudomonadota; Gammaproteobacteria; Enterobacterales; Erwiniaceae
Description: bacterial SSU rRNA
Rfam family: Bacterial small subunit ribosomal RNA
Source: RNAcentral